Long non-coding RNA from Cygnus atratus (black swan), 2107 nucleotides. RefSeq lists it as uncharacterized. The record is from RefSeq and is a predicted model, not a curated record. The transcript is spliced from 4 exons. NCBI's taxonomy places the organism in Eukaryota, Metazoa, Chordata, Aves, Anseriformes, Anatidae.
AAAGCAUCAAGAAUACCUAGAAGAUAGGAGAAAUCUUACAGGAAGGUUUCACAGAUUAGUAGAGCUCUCUGAAGUUGAAAGGUUGAGCCAUUAGUAAAGGUAGAAGAAGGAAGAAGGAAUUAGCAAGCAAAAGAUUUUGUCAUAAAAGCAGUCCCAAACCAACAACUAUCUACCGCAGUCUUGUGUGGGAUGUUCCCAUGGCCUUCGAAGUUUCUUCUGUUCUUGGAAAGCAAAUGCUACUAUUCACAGCAGUGUGUCCUCUACACCAGGAUAAAGCCUGGCUCUUCAGGGUGAGGUAUAUGGACCUCAUGGCCUCCUCUCUUCACUGCUGUGCCUGUAGUCACCACUCAGAAGGACCAGCAAAAUAGACUGUGUUUCCUGCUGCUGUUACACAUGGACACGAGGCUUGAAGGCAAAAAGCUUCAUGGUAACAACCCCUAUGUUCUACUAGGAGCAGAAGACUGUAGGUCUGAAAGUGGUGUCAAAACUCCCUUUUUGCGAGAAGCGGGCAUAGUCAACUAUAAAAGCCUGAAGAAUAUGCUUAUUCAUCUUAUUUUUAUGGAAAGUCUUGGUGACUCACUGCAUUGGCGAGAGAAGAGGGUUUAGUUUAGUUAUUACUGUUUGUAAUUCACUUUUCCGUUAAGAUGGAAACAAAACAGAAACAACAUGUAAGAUUCCCUGAGCACAAGCGAACAUGCCUGCUGCCUCUCGGUGUUCGCAUGCCCUUUGGGCGGAGGAGCAGGGGAGCUGCGGGCACAUCCCUGAGUGAGUCGGUCACUAACUGUGAAUGAGCUGUGCCUCGGACAAGAAGAAGAAGAAGAAAAGAAGUUUCAUUCUCCUCAGGACAAGGACUUGGAGCGAUAGAAUUUCCCUCGUGGAGAAGUGAAGACAUCACGUCUAAUUGCUAGGACAUAAUGACCCCAAGGGAGAGAGCCUGGUGGUCAACGGGGCAGAAGAAAACUGACUCCCGUGUUCAGAAAGAUAGAGAGGAGAAGUGACUGAGUUCAGGGCAUGUGCAAAGAGUUCAUGCGCCCAACCACAGCCAAAAGAAGGCUCAGGAGUAUUGAGGCAAAGGAAGCAGAGAUGUCAAUGUUAGCCUAUUUUGCAUGGAUUUGUCUGUCUGAAUGCACACAGGUAUUCUCCAAGUGACUAAUAAAAGACAAAACUCUUGAAUCCAUAUUUUGUUUGCUUUCAACCAAUACAUAUUUCUGUAAAUACUGCAGUGAAUGAGAUCUGAGAACAGAUUUUUUCAAGCUCCUGGAGAAUCAGAACUAGGCUAGAUAAUAUAGAUCUAGGGAAGGAGAUGCAAUUUCAGUGAUAGUAGUGACCAGGGAAGCUGUUCCCCUCAGUGUUGAGUGCCACAGGAAGAGUGGGAGCUGAAGAUUGCUAUUAAGAAAGCACUUGGCCGCUGCACCAGCUUCUUCUAUACACAGCAAAUUUGCACAUUCAGCUCUGCUAAGGUUGUGAAAGAGAACAACAUUUGUACUAAGAGAUAAGAAAAGGAGUUAUUCUCAGUAAAGAACUCACUGCAACUCUGUUUUAUCUGUUGUUACCAAACCUGACUUCUUCUGAAAUGUGAGAGCUAGCAAGUCAAAUUAACAAUCUCUGAAUUAGGUGUUAGCGCUUUCCCUAAGGAAUGUAAACCAGCUUGCAGAGAGUUGAAACCUUCAUGCUAACAGCAUUUCCCCUUCACAUCUCGCAAUCCAAAUUUCUUUUCUCCUCAAUGAAUUUGUUGUGUUCAUGACUAAAGUGCAGGUUCCUUUUUUUCCCCUUUUUUUCCCCUCUGAGUAUUCCAAUCAGUAGAACUUUGCAUCUGAAGAAAUAAUGUAGGUUCUAGCUAAGACUUCCCACCUUUAUUUUCAACUUUUACUAUCCAGUACACAAUAUAGCAUGGAAAAUAUCAAACCUCAGAGAAAGCAAAGGACCAAGAUUGGUCAGUAAUGCAACAAGAUAAGUCUUCCAGAAAUGCUAACAAGUAAACGCUUUAGCUAGGAGGAUGCGUGGGGGUACUGGUGAGCUGUGGAGUCAAACAAGUCACACAGGGACUUAAUGGAGAAAUAAUUAUAUUUUUUGAGAGUACCUUACAAACACUAAUUAUGUCUUACUC